GUGACUUCCGCUGUCGUCCCGGAAACCGGGAUGCGGUUAUCAGAGCGACCGCCUGCGCAGGUCGCGAAGAUUCCCUCAGAGCUGGUGGGUCUAAGGGGGUACUGGGAGGACACGAGAGGGAGUAGGCAGGGCGAGUAACCAGCUUGAGGCCGCACCUAGUUCAUGGCGUAUUCCACCCACCAGGAAAUGCUUAAUAAUAUGAAGCUCCUUCACUGCCAUUUUACCCAUUUGAUAGUUGAGGAAACAUUGACUGAAAAAGAUCAAUUACUUUUGGGAAAACCAUUGUGGUUUUAAUUUGCAUUUCCCAAAGUAAGAGGAACCUCCU
Molecule: long non-coding RNA, 325 nt
Filed under: Homo sapiens (human)
Lineage: Eukaryota; Metazoa; Chordata; Mammalia; Primates; Hominidae
Description: HSALNT0267783
Source: RNAcentral